RNAcentral lists this ribosomal RNA (253 nucleotides) under uncultured bacterium. Its description in RNAcentral is "partial 16S ribosomal RNA". It matches the Rfam family "Bacterial small subunit ribosomal RNA", at positions 524 to 776 of the family's 1533-position model. The record is from RNAcentral.
UACGUAGGUGGCAAGCGUUGUCCGGAUUUAUUGGGCGUAAAGCGAGCGCAGGCGGUUCCUUUAGUCUGAUGUGAAAGCCCCCGGCUCAACCGGGGAAGGUCAUUGGAAACUGGAAAACUUGAGUGCAGAAGAGGAAAGUGGAAUUCCAUGUGUAGCGGUGAAAUGCGCAGAGAUAUGGAGGAACACCAGUGGCGAAGGCGGCUUUCUGGCUAUUAACUGACGCUGAGGUGCGAAAGCGUGGGUAGCAAACAGG